CUCCCCCCUCCCCACCGCACCUGGUUUACGACACUCGCGGCUUUACGACAUCACCUUCCUUACACCUAGAGGCGCUCGCUCUACGGCCGGAACCUUGUUGCUAAGGACAGGACGGUUUGCGGCAUCCUAGGACGCUGCGGAGUUUGAAUUGAGAGGAGAGGGAAAAGUUUUCCUCAGGUGUGGUUGGGUGAGAGAUUGGGUCGUUGGGACACUGUGGGGACGUGGUCAGGAGGACGACAGGCUGUCCGAGUGGGAAAGGUGAAGUUGGAGGCUCAGCGCCGUUCUGCCUCUGGACUGGCCACACCCGCCGCGGCUGUCUAGUACGCCGACGGGUCUGGCUGCUGCUGCUCUGGACCCGGUGCCCUCAGAGCGGCCCCUCUGAGCAUCCCGGGCGGCCGUCGGCCCUCCCUCUUCCUGAAGGUUGGGCUCUGCUCCCACGCCUCACUCGUCCACCCUCCGCACUCCGGGGCCGGGAGAGGGUCGAGCCCUGGGCAACCCCAGGGAGUUCCCAGGAUUGGGGAAGGGCAGGUUCGGGGAACCGGGAAGGAGCGAUUGGGGAACUCGGCCCUUGACGGCGAGGACACGCAGAGUCACGAGGGCGGCUACCUGACCCGCUCUGUCCUGUCCCUUCCCUCACACGGACGCACGGUUUUCCCCCUAGAGAGCCAGGAUGGGAAGUGACUUCAGUUAGGUCGAACUUAAGCUGGACCGAAAGAGGCAGAAGUUCCGCUUGCAGUAAAGCGGAAUGAGUAACCCCGCGCGGCGCCAGUCUCACUUCCUCGUCCGCCGGGCGCUCACCUGCUGUCACCUUGGCCUCCCCGCCCCUGCCUUCCUCCCGCCCUCCCGCUUUCCUCUCCCGGUAGACCGCCGAGCCGUAGGCGUCGUGACUUAGAGUUUAGGUAUCAAACAGGCCACGGCUUACUUAAAUGAGCGGUCCUCGCUGUGUAAGGACCGUCAGUCAAGAACCAGAUGUCUCCAGGCAGACAGAUUGCUGAUUUCAUUUUAAGUUCUUGACUUUGAACAAGUUCAGGGAUUUCUGAAAGACCACGUAUGUAGCACCACAAAUACUGAAAAAGUUGACUUCAGAGUGUGGGAUUGGGACUGAGGUUUCUCCCCCUGCUCCCUGCCCUUUUAACAUGAGGAAUUUUCUGAGAACAACUUUAUGGAAUAAAUGAGCUAUAUUCCAACUGAUGUUAUAGAUUAACAGUGUAAAAGCAAUCAAUAGAGAUAUCAAGCAAACUGAAACCGGACAUAUGGGACCGUUAGAAAUAAUCUAGUAAAUCACGUACCAGUGCUAGUAUAGUAGAUUCGUGCCUACGAUUUUUGUCAUGCCUAUGUCAGGAAUUUUUAUUAAAAUUGCGAUUUAAACACACCUCACCAGAAAAUGUAGACGAUCCAUUGAUGAAUCUCUUCAAAUCUCAACCGAAAUAACCUUACAGCUAAAGUCUGGUAAUUCAAAAUCAGUUUAAUCAUGAAUAUAAAUUAAAAGAUAUCCCAUUCGCUUUGGCAUUAAUCAGUGCAUGAAAUGGGAUUAUAAAUAUUCUUUGCUAUAUGUUAUGUAUCUGUACUCUUUCCCAAUGCCAAAACUAGAAUCAUUGUCCCUCAUGAUCAUUUUAAGUAUAGGCAUUUCUCAUUUCCCUCAAUACCAUAUUGUCGGAAACUUAAGCACAUCAAAAUGCUUGGUCCAAUUGUAAUUUUUCCUCUCUUUUUAAGGACUGUAUGAUAUUCUUCAAUUGUCUUCUGAAUCAGAUCAUAGACUAUCUUUUGCCAGAAAUUUUCUCCAAACUUUUUAAAAAUUGCUAACCUAAUUUCCAACCAGAAAAUCAAAAAAAAAUUAUAUAUAUAUAUAUAUAUAUAUAUAUAUAUAUAUAUAUAUAUAUAUAUAUUUCUAGCUCAAGCACAUUUUAUCUACCCUUAAACUUAGGAAUUAUUUAUUAUACAUGCCAUUUUUUCCUUCUGACUUGAAAUUUCUUACCAAAUUUCUUUCAUUGUUCAUCUUCACCUUAAAUAUCAUAAAGAGACAAAUAAAAUGAGGUAAAGUAAUUUCUUCCUUACUUUAGAGGUCACUAAUUUGGGCCAGAUAUUAUGUGAUCAGGUAACUUAUUAGGUUUUUGUUGUUGUUGUUAAUUUUUGUAUCCUCAGCAUUUAACAGAAGGCCUAGGCAUUAGUAGAUACUUAAUAAAUUAAUAUCUGCCCUUAUCAAAUCCAUCCUUAGAAACAGUUGAAUUCAUGACUGUGAAAGCCAUUUACUGUCUUAUCCAGUCUAAUUGCUCUUAAGUUUCUUCAUAAUCAUUUUCCCUAAAUGAUUAAUUCUACUCAGUCCUGUUUUUUACAUAUGUACAAAUAUUGAGAGGCCAAAUCUAAUAUAAAUUUUGUAAAAGUAUGUGUUAACUAUAUUUUAUAAAUUAAAUACUUGACUUAUAUACCUUAUAUAAUAUUCUUGAAAACAAUGAACUCUAGACUGAAGAGAAAGCAUACAAAGUAAAUUAAAAAAUGAAGUCCUGCUUUAAACCUGAUGUAUAUAUUAUAGUUGCUUAUCUCUUAAAUGGAAUUGAAGAUUUGACAACUUUAGAAUCACUUUAUAGAGAAAUUUAUUAAGACUUAGAUUAAAUUGAAGAGAGUAGGGGGCACUGAUAAGAGUGCCAUCAUACAGCAUUCAUUCAGUAAUGUAUUAAUGAAAUGUUAGCUUGCUUUCACCAAGCACUGUGAUUAUAUAUGCUAAAGGACAAGUAUUCUAAGAAUGAAUUAUCUUUUCCAAAUUUACUGAGAAAGAAUAAAUGGGUAAAAUAUUUUAGAAUUGAUUUUUUAUAUAUUUUUUUCAUAAUAUAUUUGUAGUUGUUUGCAAAUAAAUUGUGUACAAGAUUUAUGUAUAAGUUAAGAUAAAGUUCAACAUAAAAUUAUUUUCAACUCAAAAUUGUACAUAUUUCAUGGUGUUCCACAUCAAAGGUAUGAUUUUCAUGUACCUCACUUUCCAAACACAUUUAAGUACAGCAAUAUAUGAUUCUUUAAUCAUCAGAAUUUUAAAAUUGGUUAAUUUCAUGGAAAUCCUGAUAGCAUUGUUGGUGUUACUCCUCCAUUCAAUGCUUAUUUUCCUAGAGCUUUGAUGGGGAAAAGAAUACAUGCUAACUCUCAAAGUAUAGUCUAUACUUUGAGAUCUGUUCAAUCUUCUACUUAUUCCAUGGCUCAACUAAUAAGACUCUGAAUCUGAUUCACAGUGGUACCAAAGAGAACGAUGAUCAUUUCAUUGCUACAGUUUCACCAAAUUCUGCAGUCACAGAGUCAAGCAAGGAUGGUAUAGAACCAAGAGUUGUCCUCAGGACCCAUUUCAGCUUUUCAAAUAAAGCCUCCCAGGAGGUAAUAAAAAGGACAAAUGUGUUUAAGUCAAUGAAAUGUUGAUGGGGCUUUCUAUAUGGGGAGCAAGUUUUCAGGAUUAUUUUGAGUAUAAUGAGAUGUUAAGUAUAAAUAUUUUUAGGUAAAGAUGUAGGAUGUCAAUGAAAAUCCCAAAAAAGUAAAAUUAGUACUGAUCUUUUCCAUAAAAUCACAGUAAAGAGGAUGCUUUCAAAAAACUGCCUCCAUGAAACACAGUUUUUAUUAUUGAUAUUAUUUGUGAACAUGGAAUCCCUUUUUAAUAGUUAGAAUUAUAGAUAUAUAAGACAGCAGCAUGAAUAUUUUGAAUUCGAAUUAAUUUUAAGUAUUUUGACUUGAUAUCAGAGUGCCAGUAUCUGGUUUCUACUGUUUUUUUUUUGUUGUUGUUGUUGUUGUUGUUGUUUUGUUGUUGUUGUUUUUUACCAUGUAUUUCUUUUCUCUGACAUCUUGACUUCUUUUAGCUGCUGACUGGUUGUGAACAGAGUAUGGCUAUUUCUUUGACCUACAGCCCUGGCUUUCUGUAAUCCACAGAUUCUCAGGUAUAAUCACAACUGCUGUUCAGCCCUUGGACUGAAAACAAAAAGUGUGUGUGUGUGUGUGUGUGUGUGUGUGUGUGUGUGUGUGUGUAUAAACCUAUAGGCAGUGACAGGCUUUAUAUGUCCCACCCAUGUGUUAACAAAAUUGGUGAUAAAUACCCAGUGUGUUCAGUUAUACUACAACUUCAAAAUCUUGGUCAAACCUUUCUCAUUCUUUCAUCUCAUGCCUCUUUUUUUUUUUUGCUCACUCUCUUUAUCCUACUUAUAUAACUAGACCAGCCAUUGUGCCCCUCCCACUGGUUUACUUUUUGAUCAUUCUCUUAAUCUUUCUUUGUGCCAGGUCUGACACAGCUCUGUUCAGAUCUUUUCCCUUUCUCUUUUAGGUUAAAGAUUUUUAAAAUUGUUCCCAGCUCUAUAAGUGCUUUGCUUUUUCAUAUGAUGCUUGUUACCCACUCAGAAAAUUCAUUCCAUGCUUUGAGUGGCUGACUUCUGUGGACCACAUCAACCAAGUCCUUUGCCCUCUGGUUUCUGUUUGGUUUCAACCAAUUUGGGAGGCAUUGACAAAUGUUCAGAAAACAGAGAGGAAGAAAGAGUUGGGAUAUUCCACUCUUCUUCCUGCCUGAUUGUGGUUAUAGCUUCAUUCUACUCAGGCCCAUAGCUUUUGUCAGACACCUCUGUCCCAUGCCUAAAGACCUUGCAAAGUUCCAGAAACUCCUUCUUCAAUUUGUGCUUUAAGGUCUAUGGAUGGUAUUCAUUGGAUGCUUUAUCAUUCCUUCCCUUGAAACCUGCCCAUACCUUUGUAAAUAGUCUCUUCAUUAUAUUUUCUUCUGUUACUCUUUGAAUAAGUCAUCAGUCUCCUGCCAGGGCCCUAAGUAACAGGCAAACAGACAUUAAAAAUUAUUUUUAAUGCUAAUAUCAGCCAAGUAUUCCACUCCCAUGAAUUAUAGCCUUGAAGUUUGAGUAUGAUGUCUUCUAUCAUUCAUUCAACAUGUAUAUAUGCAUGUUUUAAUGUAUGUGUAUAUGCAUAAUCUAGUAAAUACAAUUACAUAGCAAUCGUUCAAUAACUUUGUGGAAUGAAGACCUCUGUCUUGAUUGAUCAAAAAUCUGGUCGGGUUUGCUUUAUGUUCUUAAAACAAUGAGAGAAAAAAAAAUCACAAUACCAUAGUAUUAUGGUUAUAGCUUCAUUCUACAAUUUCAAUACCUAGUUGUCCCCAAUUUUUUUCCUACUCUUUAAUGAUAGAACUGUCUACUCUUUAUUAUAUAGCUCCUUGAAAUAAUGUCUCUAUUUCCCUCUCUGCUACUAGAUGCUACUGUGCUAUUAGAUCUGACCAUGAGAUGUAAAAGUGGAAAUGGUGUGUGCAACAUUGAGGAAGUUCUUCAAAAGAAGAUAAUUCACCAUUCUUUCCUUCUUCCUGCUGGUUGAAAUUAGACCUGCUGGCUCAAGAUCCUUACAGAAGGCAGAGCAACAAGACUGAAAGAGCUGAGUCCUUGACACUGGAAUACCAAAAUCACCCUUGAAUUUCUACCUCCAUCCACUUUUACAUGGAGAGAAAUAAACUUUUAUUUAAGCUACAAUUAUCCUAGGUUUUCUGACAUAUACAGCCAAAAUUAUCUUGUUCAAUGUGGAUAUGUGUAUUAGCUUCCUACUGCUAAAGUAAAAAUAUUACCACAAGUUUAAUGGAUUAAAACAAAUGUAAUUCUAGAAGUCAGAGUACAAAAUGGGUCUCAUGAGACUAAAAUCAAGGUUUUGGCAAGAUGAGUCUACUUCAGAAAACUCUAGGGAGAGUAUGUUACUUUGCCUUUUCCAGCUCCUAGAGGCUGCUCACAUUCCUUGGCUCUUUAGCAUCUUCUUCCAUCUUCAAAGCCAGCAACAUCUGGCAGUCAUAUUGCCAGCUCACUGUUUCUUUUAUACUGCCUCCCUCUUCCACAUAAAAAGGACUUUGCUAUUCAGUUGAACCCACCCAGAUAAUCAGGACAUCUUCCCAUUUUAAGAUCAACUGAUUAGCAAGCUUAAUUCCAUCUGCAAUUUUAAUUCCCCCUUGUGAUAUAACCUAACAUUCACAGGGUUGGGUGAGUAAGACAUGAACACCUUUGGGGGCCACUGUUCUGCCUACUACAGUGUACAGAUUUUUAAGUUUUGUGAUUGAGAAAUACGUUUUUACUUUAUGAUUUAUCUUUAAUACAUUUACAACUUAUAACCCUAUGCUAAUUAGUCAUUACUCUUUAUAGAACAUUUAGCAUUGUGCCCCAUAAUUUUUAAAUUUUAUAUAUGUGAAGGACAGGUAGUCUAAAAAUGAAUUAUAAUCUUUUCUAAAUUCACAGGGAAAGUGUAAGUAGGAUAUUUUCAGUAUUGAAUUUUUCUUCAUAUUUUUAAUAAUUUGCUUGCAGUUAUUUACUUCUCAUACAAGAUUCCAUGUAAGUUAAGAUAAAGUUCAAUAUAGAAUUAUUUUCAAGUGUAAAUUGUACGUAUUUCCUGGUGUUCCUCACUUUCCAAACACAUUUGAGUACAGCACUUUAUGAUCCUCUAAUCGUCAAAAAUUUUAAAUUGGUUAAUUUCAUGGAAAUCCAAAUAGUAUGUUGGUGUUACUCCUUCAUUCAAUGCCUAUUUUCAAUCCUAAAGCUUUAAUGGGGUGGGGGUGAGAGAAUUAAAAGCUAGAAGUCACAGAGUAUGCAAAUCUUAAGGAUGGAACUAUAGUGCUUUUGGGGUGCAUAUCCAAUAGAAUUAAGCCCCACAUAGCUAAUAAUUCCCCCAUACUUUAGUUUGUCCAUGCCACUGAUAUAGCAUUUAUCCCUAUAUGUGGACUUUUGUUGAGAGCCACUGCCACAUCAGGAUGGUGCCUGGCAUUUUGCCAGAAGGAGUGGUUGGGAGGUGACGCCAGUGAGCCAUUAAGAUGAUAAUAAUUAAGUUAAGCUGUGUAUAAUUAUUAAGAUAAUGACUGAUUGCUGUAACUGGAUGAUGCUAAAGUGAAACAAGCUGUGUAUUCAGUUGGUAUAUAAACCUCUGCUGUCCAGCAAUAAGGCGGUUCCUGCUACCUCCGGCGCCCGCUACUUUUGAGUUCCCGUUGGUUCUCGCAGAGUUUCCUUGGAGUUAUGGAGAGUUCCCGUGGGGUUCGGGCAAUAAAGUAGUUCCUGUUUGAACCUACAAGUGGCUAGUGGCCUCUCAGGUAUUUGUGCCCAGCCAGACUGCAGGCAGUUUUUGUUUUGUUUACAUCAGGCCCCUCUCCUAAUUAUCUUUGGGUUUCUGUUACUGAAAGCAGUGCCCGUCCAAAACAUUCUUAAUAAUUAUGGAAAAGAGGGAAGGUUUCUUGUCAUUGAUGAAUCAUUACAGCACAGAAAUUUUGUGAAGAGCAAAUAGAAUAGGGUUUGCGGACUAUACCAUAUGUUAUCUGGCACUUGGUAAACAGUACAUGAAAGACAACAAAAAAUAAAUAAAUUCUUAGGCAAAGAUUAAAGUCAGAUGUAAAGGACAUAAUCACUAGAAUUCUUAUAUAGUGUCUUUCUCUUCAAAGCAAAAAAGAUAAUCUUUAUCCCUGAAAUUGUCAUUUAAAGCACAGGUAUAACUAAAGAACAAAAGAAAGAGAUGAUGUUAACAUGUUUUGCUUAGCAUUAGUUGGAAUAUUGUCUAAAAAUGUUAGCUUACCUUAGCUAUAUUAUUUAAGGAACUGUCUCUACAAUAAGUACACUUCCAACCCUAGGAAAAAUAACACUAUUUGCAAUGCAAUUAGCUAGCCUGUGGCACUUGCUAUUCUUAUACAGAUCAUUUUUAAAAUGCAAGUAAAGAUUAUGAAAGAAAUAUAAAAAUUGCCUUAGUGUUGUUUCUUGAUUUGCAGAUACCUAUUUGAACUGUAGAAGCAAAAAGUAGGAAAUUAUCAUAAAGAUAUUGGUGAUUUUUUUUUCAUAGAAUCCAAAAGUAAGAAUGAAGUCAGGUCUCCCAAAUGAAGAAUCAUGAAUACCUCUAAAUGUACAGGUGGUGCCUCUCCAUUUUUUGGCUCUUUGUGUUUCUGUUCCAUUUUGUUGGAAGGCCUACUGUUGUGCAUGAAGGUAGUGUGAGGAGACAGAUAAAUACCUGCUAUAACCAUUCCAUAGUGCUUAGAGAAAAAAAUCCUACAUCGAAAGUGUUAGUCAAUAAAAAUUCUGGUUUUUUUGUAGUUACAAUAGUCAGUUUUUCCAUAUACAUAUAAGAACAACAUAAUUUAGUAAUUUCCUUUAACCUACAUCCAUUUUCCUACAUAGCUACAUAACCUUUAUAUUUGUCCUUUUUUACAUGAUUGUAACAUUCAAGUUGAUAAGUGUAAUUUACUAAGCCAGGGUUCAUAUUGUUGAAAGUUUCAUUAUUUUUGCUUUAUAAAGAAUAAACACUAUUAUAAUAAAGUUUUGUUUUUAUUUGAUUUUUUAUAAUUUCCUGAGAAUACUCUCAAAAUUGGAAAUACUUACUAGAUGGAAAUGACCAUAUUUGUCUUUUUAAACAUAUUGUCCGCUUAUUUUUUAAAAGGAUUACACAAACAUGAUGUCACUCAAGAUUUAUGAGUUUGACCAUGAUUUAAAAUUUCCCAAAAUUGCUAGCUUAUUCAGACAGACUGAAAACAUUUGAAUUCCCUGAUAUUUUAGAAGAGGGGUAUAGGAAAACACAAGUGCAACAAGAACAUGUAUAAAUAUGUAAUAAGUUCCAUACUGGAUUAAAUCAAUGAUCACUCCAGCUCUGGCUCUUAAGACCUAGACAGGCUCUUUUAUGUUAAAUUCACGUUUAUCUGGUUUUUAAAAACAUUCCUUUCUCUUUUUGCAAAGGACUGGCUUUGGGUUUAUAACCAGUUUUGUCUCCGAAAUUAUCUACCUAGGCUUUACUCAAGUGCAAUUGAAUUUAAUCACAUUUUUCUUUUAAGAGUAAUUUAUAAGGUGUUCUUAUAGAUCAUAAAAAUGCUCACAAAGAGCCAAAUUGUUUUAUUUCCAGCUUUGAACUUUUUGUAUUUUGUUAUAAAGUUUAGGGACUUACAUUGUUUCACUUCUUAAUUAAAGGUAAAGUCAUUCCUAGUUAAAAUAGUUCAUAAAAUGUAUACAUUUGCAAUCAGCUUUAGUCAACAUAUUUUGGUAUUACAACUAACAAUUUAUAUUAAUGUUGUAAAUAUUUGUGGAAUUUUGUUAUUUUCACACUGAAUUAAUUACUGUCAUUGAAUAAGUACCUUCUCUCUUUAGUAGCUCCAUUUAUUUCCUGAAUCUACCCAUUGAUACUGUGCUUUUGAUUUAUAAAAUCACCAAUAAAUAUGCAGCUUUUAAUAAAUGUCCAUUUUCCAUAUAAAAUAUGGAAAGUCUCCCAGCAGAUAUUUUCAUUAGCUAGCUGGUGAUAUUUUCGGUAAACGCCAAAAGGUAAUUUAUGAAUAUAUAAAACAUUAAAUGUGUAACAACUAUAACAGAAAGGGUUAGUAGAAUAAGUGAUUAAUAUAUUGUCUACUAACAGAAAAAAUUAAAAACACUGACAUUAUGAGAAAAUAUAAUUAGAAUUUUGAGCUGAUCAAGUAAAUUUAUUUCAGUUCUCUUAUUUUCUAUGUCCAUGUAAGACCUAGUAAAUUAAGAAAAUGUAUAGUUUGAAUUCUAUGUUUCUCUUUUUUUCUUUAUUACCUAGUUUACUUAUAUUUUUGUCUUUUCCUUGAACUCACUCUCUCUAGACUUUGGGUAUGUUAUGGGCAUAAAUCAAACUACUAAAACCCACUUUUGAAUGUUGAUAUUGGUUUCAAAGCAUGUUCUUUUUCCAUCUGCUCCCCUCUGAUUGCUACAAAGCUGACCAAAAGGCUAUCAACCAGACAAAAGCAUUUGAUGCAAGAAUUUGACAACCUAUUAGCUAGAAAACUCUUCCCUGAAUAAUUUAAAUUUUUUGAAGCCUUUCUCCUAUAUAUAAAAUUGUUCUAUAGUUCUAUUCAUUUUUGCAUUCCUCCUUUUUAUAGCUUUGGAAAACACAGAUCAGUGUUUCAGCAGCAAAGGACAUCAUGAUGCCAAAUAGGAAACAAGGACUUGGAAUAUGCUUUGGACCUCUUAAUUCCAGGCCACUUGAUAGCAGAUACAGUUCAUUACACAAGAAAAUUGCUUGAUCUUGGGAAAAGAGGGUGCUGUAGGUGAGGGAAAAUGAGUUAGUCACCAAUACAGUUCACCUUGCAGUUCUGUCGUUGAUCUAACUAGAGAAUGAUUGCUGCCAUGUUCCACACAAAGAGCAAAAGCUUCUUUCCACUAUAAGAUGGUGAAUCAUACCUCUCCUCUGUUUAGAUUCUAGGGAAAAAGAGGAUCCUUCCCCACUCCUUUUACCCCUCCUAAUCUUCCCUAUAUUCUUCAUCACAACAAAUCCCAUGUUUAAAUUCUGUUGAACAUGAUAAACAAAAUCAUACCCAGGAAUCUUCAGUACAAGAUUGUGAAGCAUAAAAAUAUGUAAAUUAAAAAAAAUACAACCAG
This 10337-nucleotide long non-coding RNA is filed under the name Marmota monax (woodchuck). Lineage: Eukaryota; Metazoa; Chordata; Mammalia; Rodentia; Sciuridae. The record is from RNAcentral.